Molecule: ribosomal RNA, 492 nt
Filed under: uncultured bacterium
Lineage: Bacteria
Description: partial 16S ribosomal RNA
Rfam family: Bacterial small subunit ribosomal RNA
Source: RNAcentral
AGUGAACGCUGGCGGUAGGCCUAACACAUGCGAGUCGAACGGCAGCACAGUAAGAGCUUGCUCUUACGGGUGGCGAGUGGCGGACGGGUGAGGAAUACAUCGGAAUCUACUUUUUCGUGGGGGAUAACGUAGGGAAACUUACGCUAAUACCGCAUACGACCUGCGGGUGAAAGCAGGGGAUCUUCGGACCUUGCGCGAUUGAAUGAGCCGAUGUCGGAUUAGCUAGUUGGCGGGGUAAAGGCCCACCAAGGCGACGAUCCGUAGCUGGUCUGAGAGGAUGAUCAGCCACACUGGAACUGAGACACGGUCCAGACUCCUACGGGAGGCAGCAGUGGGGAAUAUUGGACAAUGGGCGCAAGCCUGAUCCAGCCAUACCGCGUGGGUGAAGAAGGCCUUCGGGUUGUAAAGCCCUUUUGUUGGGAAAGAAAAGCAGCAGGUUAAUACCCCGCUGUUCUGACGGUACCCAAAGAAUAAGCACCGGCUAACUUCGUG